Alosa sapidissima (American shad) is the source of this 1180-nucleotide long non-coding RNA. RefSeq lists it as uncharacterized. The record is from RefSeq and is a predicted model, not a curated record. NCBI's taxonomy places the organism in Eukaryota, Metazoa, Chordata, Actinopteri, Clupeiformes, Clupeidae. The transcript has 12 exons.
GAGUCCUUACUAGACUAGCCGCGCUGGACACGUGUGUUAGGUCUUUUUGCUUCAUGAUUCGCUAGACUCUGAACGUCUGUAUGCAGGUCGAUGUUUGCGAUUGGGCGUUAGAAUGUUCUGGAAUUCUCGCUUGAUACUGCGAUUUUCAAAGGAGGUCAUGGCUGAUUCAGGUUAUACUUGAAUACUCCCUGUAAUCAUUGGUGACUGGGUGGCUCUGAUUUACAUACUGGCAGCAAGAAUAAUGGAGACAGUGAUGAUGGUCCAGGACGUCUUGGAUCUACAGUGUGAGGAUACAAAAGUGGUUUGAGGUGGACGAUGACCGUUCUGGGUCUGCAGUUUCAAGAAGAUCUGUUUUAGAAUAUGGAUUCAUAGUUGAGUCGUCUUUCACUGCAUAGAAGUGCCACAUGAAAAGAUGUGCCAUGCUGUUCCGUCAACUACUUGGCAACCAGAUGGGAUUACUGGACAUUGGAUUCCAACACUUGUGAGGAUUUUGGGUUGUGAAUCUAAUCGAUCUAUGUGGCAGUUUUGUCUCGCAAAACCACUGGGAGUGAUGACUGCUAUAAAGGAGCCCAUUACCACUAUUUGGUCUUGAACAUCAGGUUGUACUUGAAUACUCCCUGUAAUCAUUGGUGACUGGGUGGCCCUGAUUUACAUACUGGCAGCAAGAAUAAUGGAGACAGUGAUGAUGGUCCAGGAUGUCUUGGAUCUACUGUGUGAGGAUACAAAAGUGGUUUGAGGAUUUUGGGUUGUGAAUCUAAUCGAUCUAUGUGGCAGUUUUGUCUCGCAAAACCACUGGGAGUGAUGACUGCUAUAAAGGAGCCCAUUACCACUAUUUGGUCUUGAACAUCAGAGUUGAGUCGUCUUUCACUGCAUAGAAGUGCCACAUGAAAAGAUGUGCCAUGCUGUUCCGUCAACUACUUGGCAACCAGAUGGGAUUACUGGACAUUGGAUUCCAACACUUGUGAGGUUUGCCAUGCCAUUGAUGACCACACCUUCCACAACAUCACUAUUGCAAAACAGUCAUUGGUGUUUACCUUCAAGGCCAUUCACAGUUAACCUGGCAAUAGCCAGAUGAAUUUCGCUCUGCCUAGCUCCACUCAUCCAUCUGGAACCGAUCCAUUGAAGUGUUGCUUCAGAAGGCUGGGCCUAAUCAAAAAAUUGCUUCUACGCUAUGUCACAU